GGAUGUCAGGGCGAUCUGGCUGUGACAUCUGUCACCCCAUUGAUCGCCAGUGUUGAUUCUUCUGAUCUGGCUGACUAGGCGGGUGUCCCCUUCCUCCCUCACCACUCCAUGUGUGUCCCUCCCGAAGCUGCACGCUUGGUGGAAGAGGAUGGCCUUCCCCGAAUAGAGACUGACCAGUCUUCGGUGGAGGGUAUACGAGUAGCUGUGCUACCCUGCUAGAACCUCCAAACAAGCUCUCAAUUUCUGUUUCUAUCCAAAAUAAAUAAAGUCAUAUCAACAAAAUUUGAAAAUUUAAAUGAUGCAAGACCUAUGCAUAAAAUAU
Erinaceus europaeus (western European hedgehog) is the source of this 322-nucleotide unclassified non-coding RNA. Its record names the gene 7SK. It matches the Rfam family "7SK RNA". From Rfam's summary of the family: 7SK was discovered as an abundant small nuclear RNA in the mid-70s but a possible function has only recently been suggested. Two independent studies have found that 7SK RNA binds the CDK9/cyclin T complex (known as elongation factor P-TEFb). Lineage: Eukaryota; Metazoa; Chordata; Mammalia; Eulipotyphla; Erinaceidae. The record is from Ensembl.